Molecule: ribosomal RNA, 495 nt
Filed under: uncultured bacterium
Lineage: Bacteria
Description: partial 16S ribosomal RNA
Rfam family: Bacterial small subunit ribosomal RNA
Source: RNAcentral
GAUGAACGCUAGCGGGAGGCCUAACACAUGCAAGCCGAGCGGUAUUGUUUCUUCGGAAAUGAGAGAGCGGCGUACGGGUGCGUAACACGUGUGCAACCUGCCUUUAUCUGGGGGAUAGCCUUUCGAAAGGAAGAUUAAUACUCCAUAAUAUAUUUAACGGCAUCGUGUAACAUUGAAAGCUCCGGCGGACAGCGAUGGGCACGCGCAAGAUUAGCUAGUUGGUGAGGUAACGGCUCACCAAGGCGAUGAUCUUUAGGGGGCCUGAGAGGGUGAGCCCCCACACUGGUACUGAGGCACGGACCAGACUCCUACGGGAGGCAGCAGUGAGGAAGAUUGGUCAAUGGGUGCAAGCCUGAACCAGCCAUCCCGCGUGAAGGACGACUGCCCUAUGGGUUGUAAACUUCUUUUGUAUAGGGAUAAACCUACCCUCGUGAGGGUAGCUGAAGGUACUAUACGAAUAAGCACCGGCUAACUCCGUGCCAGCCGCCGCAGUAA